UACGUAGGGUGCAAGCGUUGUCCGGAAUUAUUGGGCGUAAAGGAGCUCGUAGGCGGUUUGUCGCGUCUGCUGUGAAAACGCGAGGCUCAACCUCGCGCCUGCAGUGGGUACGGGCAGACUAGAGUGCGGUAGGGGAGAUUGGAAUUCCUGGUGUAGCGGUGGAAUGCGCAGAUAUCAGGAAGAACACCCGUGGCUAAGGCGGCUCUCUAGUACGGUACUGACGCUGAGACGCGAAAGCGUGGGGAGCGAACAGG
This 254-nucleotide ribosomal RNA is filed under the name uncultured bacterium. RNAcentral describes it as "partial 16S ribosomal RNA". It matches the Rfam family "Bacterial small subunit ribosomal RNA", at positions 524 to 776 of the family's 1533-position model. The record is from RNAcentral.